RNAcentral lists this signal recognition particle RNA (266 nucleotides) under Aotus nancymaae (Ma's night monkey). RNAcentral's name for it is "Metazoan signal recognition particle RNA (ENSANAG00000007541.1)". It matches the Rfam family "Metazoan signal recognition particle RNA". Rfam says of the family: The signal recognition particle (SRP) is a universally conserved ribonucleoprotein. The record is from Rfam by way of RNAcentral. Lineage: Eukaryota; Metazoa; Chordata; Mammalia; Primates; Aotidae.
GCCUGGCUCAGUGCUGUGCGCCUGUGGUUCAGCUACUAGGCUGGGGUGGAUGGCUUGAUCCCAGUUCUGGGCUGCAGUGUGCUAUGCCAAUCGGUUGUCCACAGUAAGUUUGGCAUUGACAUGGUGACCUCCUGGGAAUUAGGGAUCAUCAGGUUGCCUAAGGAGGAGUGAACCAGCCAAGGUAGGAAACAAAUCAAGUCAAAACACUCAUGCUGACCAGAAGAGGGAUCCACCAUCUGUGAAAAUGCCGCAAGACUCUGUCUCAU